Molecule: unclassified non-coding RNA, 295 nt
Filed under: uncultured fungus
Lineage: Eukaryota; Fungi
Description: partial contains 5.8S ribosomal RNA, internal transcribed spacer 2, and large subunit ribosomal RNA
Source: RNAcentral
AACGCACAUUGCGCUCCCUGGUAUUCCUAGGAGCAUGUCUGUCUGAGCGUCAGUACACACCCUCCGUGGAUCUCUUUGUUGAGGUCCGUCGGGUCCUGAGGUUUUUCGAGCGAUCGGCGAUGUGAAAACGUCUCCCCGGUCCUCGAGCCUCUAAAGUGGAACGCCAGCGGCCCGCCUGCCCAUGAAAGACGUAGUAAACACAUGAACCGUCCACGAAAGGGUUUGGAAAGGCUCGCCUCGAAUCUAUACAUCAAGGUUUGACCUCAGAUCAGACAAGAAUACCCGCUGAACUUAA